CCUACGGGGGGCAGCAGUAGGGAAUCUUCCGCAAUGGGCGAAAGCCUGACGGAGCAACGCCGCGUGAGUGAAGAAGGAUUUCGGUUCGUAAAGCUCUGUUGUAAGAGAAGAACGAGUGUGAGAGUGGAAAGUUCACACUAUGACGGUAUCUUACCAGAAAGGGACGGCUAACUACGUGCCAGCAGCCGCGGUAAUACGUAGGUCCCGAGCGUUGUCCGGAUUUAUUGGGCGUAAAGCGAGCGCAGGCGGUUAGAUAAGUCUGAAGUUAAAGGCUGUGGCUUAACCAUAGUAUGCUUUGGAAACUGUUUAACUUGAGUGCAGAAGGGGAGAGUGGAAUUCCAUGUGUAGCGGUGAAAUGCGUAGAUAUAUGGAGGAACACUGGUGGCGAAAGCGGCUCUCUGG
RNAcentral lists this ribosomal RNA (402 nucleotides) under uncultured Streptococcus sp. Its description in RNAcentral is "bacterial SSU rRNA". It matches the Rfam family "Bacterial small subunit ribosomal RNA", at positions 338 to 732 of the family's 1533-position model. Lineage: Bacteria; Bacillati; Bacillota; Bacilli; Lactobacillales; Streptococcaceae. The record is from RNAcentral.